CACACCCGUUCCCAUACCGAACACGGAAGUUAAGCUCUCUAGCGCCGAUGGUAGUUGGGACCUUGUCCCUGUGAGAGUAGGACGUUGCCAGGCA
This 94-nucleotide ribosomal RNA is filed under the name Bacillus mycoides. The record is from RNAcentral. Lineage: Bacteria; Bacillati; Bacillota; Bacilli; Caryophanales; Bacillaceae. RNAcentral also lists the same sequence under 17 other names.